RNAcentral lists this ribosomal RNA (497 nucleotides) under uncultured bacterium. RNAcentral describes it as "partial 16S ribosomal RNA". It matches the Rfam family "Bacterial small subunit ribosomal RNA", at positions 28 to 507 of the family's 1533-position model. The record is from RNAcentral.
GAUGAACGCUGGCGGCGUGCCUAAUACAUGCAAGUCGAGCGAACAGACGAGGAGCUUACCCCUCUGACGUUAGCGGCGGACGGGUGAGUAACACGUGGAUAACCUACCUAUAAGACUGGGAUAACUUCGGGAAACCGGAGCUAAUACCGGAUAACAUGUUGAACCGCAUGGUUCAACAGUGAAAGACGGUCUUGCUGUCACUUAUAGAUGGAUCCGCGUCGCAUUAGCUAGUUGGUAAGGUAACGGCUUACCAAGGCAACGAUGCGUAGCCGACCUGAGAGGGUGAUCGGCCACACUGGAACUGAGACACGGUCCAGACUCCUACGGGAGGCAGCAGUAGGGAAUCUUCCGCAAUGGGCGAAAGCCUGACGGAGCAACGCCGCGUGAGUGAAGAAGGUCUUCGGAUCGUAAAACUCUGUUAUUAGGGAAGAACAAAUGUGUAAGUAACUAUGCACGUCUUGACGGUACCUAAUCAGAAAGCCACGGCUAACUACGUG